RNAcentral lists this ribosomal RNA (405 nucleotides) under uncultured bacterium. RNAcentral describes it as "bacterial SSU rRNA". It matches the Rfam family "Bacterial small subunit ribosomal RNA", at positions 355 to 776 of the family's 1533-position model. The record is from RNAcentral.
UAGGGAAUCUUGCGCAAUGGGCGAAAGCCUGACGCAGCAACGCCGCGUGGGGGAAGAAGGCUCUCGGGUCGUAAACCCCUUUCAGCAGGGACGAAAAUGACGGUACCUGCAGAAGAAGCGCCGGCCAACUACGUGCCAGCAGCCGCGGUAAUACGUAGGGCGCAAGCGUUGUCCGGAUUUAUUGGGCGUAAAGGGCUCGUAGGCGGUUCGGUAAGUCGGGUGUGAAAACUCAGGGCUCAACUCUGAGACGCCACUCGAUACUGCCAUGACUAGAGUCCGGUAGAGGAGUGCGGAAUUCCUGGUGUAGCGGUGAAAUGCGCAGAUAUCAGGAGGAACACCAACAGCGAAGGCAGCACUCUGGGCCGGUACUGACGCUGAGGAGCGAAAGCGUGGGGAGCAAACAGG